GUAAUAAAUGAAGCCAUUCCAGACAUUGUGGGGGGUAAAGUUAUUGGACUUGUGACUUCAAGAGAUGAGAUUCCUGAUCUUUUAAAGCUCGAUGAUGUGAUUGAUCUUGUUAUCCCAA
Molecule: long non-coding RNA, 118 nt
Organism: Hibiscus syriacus
Lineage: Eukaryota; Viridiplantae; Streptophyta; Magnoliopsida; Malvales; Malvaceae
Exons: 2
Source: RefSeq, a predicted model, not a curated record